GGCGGGGCCAGUGCGGAGACUGACAGGGAGCCGUCCUGGGAAAGCGCCCACGUGGCGCAGAAUUAGAGGCGGAGCCUACACGUUCUCAUCCAUAUGAGCAUAGGGCUUCAUGUUACUGUGCCGAGUCCUCCUUCCGCCCACGGCCCUCUCCUCCCGGCCAGUGGUCCUCUGCCUGAACAUGGCCGACUUUGUCUUCAGUUUCCUCUGCAUCGGCAUUGGGCUCCUGAUUUCUCUUCAGCCUGACGCUCUUUUCAGUUAACUGCAAGGCGGUGCACCCGAGUCCGGUGGUGUCCUACCUGGUGACCUCCUACCUGUGCUGGGACGCCAGCGACUUGAUGCUGCACACCGCAGGGCACAGCGAGGCGGACAUCCAAACAGCGGAACUCAGACACAGACUCUGAGCACACCCUGGGCCUUCCCAUUUCAUACACCCUCGAGGAUGAGACCCAAGCACCUCCAAGGAAUAGCACCCGAGCUCUUCAGGACACUGACCGGUAGCCAUGGCCAGAUGCCAGGCCAACCCCUUCAGCGUGGCCACGCCCCGGAUAUUCGACCUCCCCUGAGGCCCCACCCCCUGAUAUCAGGCCACGCCCUCCGAGGGGACCAGUGGCAAACUCCAACCCUCGCUCUAGGGCCCGCCCUUUGUGGCUUUGUCCCUGCCCACUGGGUCCUCACAGUACCCCCACCCCAUAAGUCCAGCAUCCCCUCCCGUUCUGCAGACACUUGUCCAGCGUCCCGCUAAGCUCGGCAGUGUGGCUAGUUUGUGUGGCCCUGCCCCUGGUGCCCAGCCUUCCCAGGCCACACCCUGAAGCCACUCUCCACCCCCUCAGCCAGGGUGGUCUGCAUGGAACUUGCUUCCCGGAGUUCCAGCCUCAGCUCCGAUGUCCACCCUUGUCCCCAGGUGGACACAGCACCGCCCAGCAUUUGGUGCAACUCCACCCUUCUGCGGAACGGGCCCCUUCCUGGGAAGGCAUGGCUUGCAAUAACAUCCCUCUGUACCUUUUCUGGCUUCCCCGCCACAAUAAAACACGGGCACUUGCUAA
Symphalangus syndactylus (siamang) is the source of this 1043-nucleotide long non-coding RNA. RefSeq lists it as uncharacterized. NCBI's taxonomy places the organism in Eukaryota, Metazoa, Chordata, Mammalia, Primates, Hylobatidae. The record is from RefSeq and is a predicted model, not a curated record.